RNAcentral lists this ribosomal RNA (253 nucleotides) under uncultured bacterium. RNAcentral's name for it is "partial 16S ribosomal RNA". It matches the Rfam family "Bacterial small subunit ribosomal RNA", at positions 524 to 776 of the family's 1533-position model. The record is from RNAcentral.
GACGUAGGGCGCGAGCGUUGUCCGGAUUUAUUGGGCGUAAAGAGCUCGUAGGCGGCUUGUCGCGUCGACUGUGAAAACCCGCGGCUCAACUGCGGGCCUGCAGUCGAUACGGGCAGGCUAGAGUUCGGUAGGGGAGACUGGAAUUCCUGGUGUAGCGGUGAAAUGCGCAGAUAUCAGGAGGAACACCGGUGGCGAAGGCGGGUCUCUGGGCCUUACCUGACGCUGAGGCGCGAAAGCUAGGGGAGCGAACAGG